CAUGUUUGACCGUGAAUAACUUUUUCCUCUUAAUGAAUUUGGACAAUCUAUAAAUUGGGUCUUGUAGAGAAAAUAUCAGACUACAAUUAACAACAAUCAUAACGUUUAAACAACAUCAUAUCUGGGAUAAAUUAGUCAUCAAAGUAGCUGUCAGAGAUGUUCUUCGUGAAGAACAGUUCGAGGUACCUCCUUUGGACCUCUAUAACUUGAUGAUCGUGUAACGUUUAUGUGAUCUAUCAAUUCCAGUGUGUAUACAUCAUGUAGCACUACAACUAUAACACUUAACAUCAUCAUAAUAACAUCAGAUCUAACCGGAAAUCGUUGGUCAAAGUAGACCACGGACAACUGUUCAAGAAUUUCUGGGUUCGCGGUUUUUGGCAGUUUGGUCAAUCAUGUUUGACCGCUUGUAUCUUGUGAUCUAUAAUAGCUCUAGCUUUGAUUAUUUUUUCAUCCUAAAGACCACAUAUCAGGCUACAUGUUACAAGUUUUAAACAUCAAAAACACUAAACACACACGAAUCUAUGGGGGAUGACUUUGGCUUGUCAGACCAUAUUUUUGGUUUUUUUCCAAAGUUUGAAAACUUUGAUUUUGAGCACUUUGAUGUUAUGGGUCAUGAAUUUAACAAUCCAGAACAUUAAUAGACUCUCUAUUACACAACUUUAAACAAUCAAUUGCAUCAAUUAACAUCGAAUCGAAGGAUUUCUAGAAUUUAGGAUUUCCUACCUUUUCAAGCUUGAUUUUUGAUUUCUGGCUUCUUGAUGCUUCUGAUUUGUGGUUUGUGAUAGUUGGGCUUUGAUUAUGAGCUUAUGGGCAAGGCAAAUUCGUUGGCUAGAGGUUGAGAGAGUGUAGCUAGAGAGUUUAGAAAAUAUUAGAGUGUGUUUUCAUUAUUUCUCCUUCAAUCUCUAUAUAUAGACCCUUAGAUUGCCUUGGAUGCUGAUAUGGCUGGUAAUUAUAGAGCUCAAAGGACAAUAAUAGAGUGGUUGGCCGGAUUUGGUGGAUUAGUAGCAAUGAUACACAAUUAUUUCACCAAUAAUGCACUAAAGUGGACAAAAGGGCAAAAUGGUAAUUUCCCCUCCAAUAAUUGAUUUCUUCCUUUAAUAAUGCACAAGGGUAGUUUAGACUUCUCAUGUCUACCAUGAAGGGCAUUUUAGACAUUGGCCAUAACCAUUAGGGUUUAUCACUUUAGAUUUUAAAAUUCCAUAAAUAAUAUAACUAAUAAUACACUAAAAGGGUAUUUUGGUAAUUUCACAUAUAAUUUCAUGGGCAUUUUUGUACAUAGCAAUUAAAUGUAGUAUUUAAUCACUAGAUGGUAAUUCUUAUCAUUUACCAAUUACUUUCUAUCCUUUGGUAAAUUAAAACAUUUAUACAAUAACAUCGUAAUUAAACCCAAUAAUUUUAAAUUAGGGUUUUGAUUGAAAAAUUAGGGUUUUCUAAUUAGGGUUUCUUAACGCCAUCAAUUAGGGUUUCUAAUUGACCAUUAGGGUUCUCUAAUUAUCUG
RNAcentral lists this long non-coding RNA (1498 nucleotides) under Panax ginseng (ginseng). RNAcentral's name for it is "long non-coding RNA (PGIN_LNC001687)". Lineage: Eukaryota; Viridiplantae; Streptophyta; Magnoliopsida; Apiales; Araliaceae. The record is from RNAcentral.